AGAAAAGAUGAGGCUGAGGUGGAGCAAACUAAGCUCCUGCUUGACGCGUUGUUUCUGAGAGGGAUACGAGCUGUUUUGGACGCAGGUCUGACACAGGCUUGUGAGACGGUGUGCAGCCAUCAUGAGCCCUGGAGCCGAGAGGCGGCGGAGCUUCCUGAGAGCACGUCUCUGUUACCCUCUGGAAUUCAGUCUGGAUAGAAAAUAGGAUGAAAACUGAUUUUGUUUUUUCAGGAUCGCAGAUGGUGUUGGUGUGGAAGACAUCUGUGGCACAGGGCAGAGAAGACAUGAUUGGCUUCCUCUUAAAGUCAGGGCCAAGGAUGUGCAAAAAAGAUCUAAGGAUGCCACGAGGAAUUCCAGCUCUGUCUGGCGCGCAUUCAGGGCAGGGUGACCAAUCACAACAGAUCCGGAGGCCAUCCACUGGGGACCCAGGGACACACUGAGUACCCGGUGAUCCAAGGUUUUCGUAUGUUUUUUUGGCAGAACCUGGAAUGAAGAAUAGAUGUGAUAAAUUGUGCUGUAUCAGGUCUGAUUCAGAGGGGCCCUGGGAUUCUGCCUUUCCCACAAGAUCCCAGCUGAUGCUGCUGGUCCACUCACCGCAGGGUGAGAAGCAAGGGCUGCAAGACCCUGGAGGCCUACACCCACUCCUCGCUUAAUCACCAGUUGAGUCAAAGCUUUUCCUUUCCUGGACAUUUCUUCUGUUUUACGUGCUCUCUGGCUACAGCCAUAUCAUUUUGCAGAAUCAACCGUGUCAUGUGGUAGGAAACCUUUGUCAGUCCUGUGGGUUUGCAUGGCCUUGGAAACAUUCCGUAAUCGAGAAGUGUUAAAC
Molecule: long non-coding RNA, 826 nt
Filed under: Equus asinus (donkey)
Lineage: Eukaryota; Metazoa; Chordata; Mammalia; Perissodactyla; Equidae
Description: lncRNA (ENSEASG00005025061.1)
Source: RNAcentral